CCUACGGGUGGCAGCAGUGGGGAAUCUUGGGCAAUGGGCGCAAGUCUGACCCAGCAACGCCGCGUGAAGGAAGAAGGCUUUCGGGUUGUAAACUUCUGUUCUGAGGGACGAAGAAAGUGACGGUACCUCAGGAAUAAGCCACGGCUAACUACGUGCCAGCAGCCGCGGUAAUACGUAGGUGGCAAGCGUUAUCCGGAUUUAUUGGGUGUAAAGGGCGUGUAGGCGGGAAAGCAAGUCAGAUGUGAAAACUCAGGGCUCAAACCUGAGCCUGCAUUUGAACCUGUUUUUCUUGAGUGCAGGAGAGGCGAGCGGAAUUCCGUGUGUAGCGGUGAAAUGCGUAGAUAUACGGAGGAACACCAGUGGCGAAGGCGGAUUGCUGGACAGUAACUGACGCUGAGGCGCGAAAGCGUGGGGAGCAAACAGGAUUAGAUACCCCAGUAGUC
RNAcentral lists this ribosomal RNA (443 nucleotides) under uncultured bacterium. RNAcentral describes it as "partial 16S ribosomal RNA". It matches the Rfam family "Bacterial small subunit ribosomal RNA", at positions 338 to 795 of the family's 1533-position model. The record is from RNAcentral.